Molecule: ribosomal RNA, 312 nt
Filed under: uncultured bacterium
Lineage: Bacteria
Description: bacterial SSU rRNA
Rfam family: Bacterial small subunit ribosomal RNA
Source: RNAcentral
GACGAACGCUGGCGGCGCGCUUAAUGCAUGCAAGUCGGGCGGGGCUCCGCAAGGGGCCCAGCGGCAGACGGCUGAGUAACGCGUGAGUGACCUGCCCCGGAAAGGGGAAUAACACCGAGAAAUCGGUGCUAAUGCCACGUACGCUCGGCGGCGUAAGGCCGUCGAGGAAAGGAGCCGGGUAACCGUGUUCCGUUCUGGGAGGGGCUCGCGUCCUAUCAGGUAGUCGGCGGGGUAAUGGCCCACCGAGCCUAAGACGGGUAGCCGGAGUGAGAGCUUGUACGGCCAGAGGGGGACGUGAGAUACGGCCCCNCC